This 1070-nucleotide small RNA is filed under the name uncultured bacterium. RNAcentral describes it as "bacterial SSU rRNA". The stretch from base 1 to 481 matches the Rfam family "Bacterial small subunit ribosomal RNA", at positions 1045 to 1533 of the family's 1533-position model. The record is from RNAcentral.
AUGGCUGUCGUCAGCUCGUGUCGUGAGAUGUUGGUUUAAGUACCGCAACGAGCGCAACCCCUAUGUCCUGUUGCCACGGAGAACACGUUUCUCCAGCACUCUGGACAGACUGCCUCAUUUGAAUGAGGAGGAAGGUGGGGAUGACGUCAAGUCAGUAUGGCCCUUACGCCCAGGGCUGCACACGUGCUACAAUGCCCGGCAUAAUGGGAAGCGAAAUCGCGAGAUGGAGCCAAUCCCCAAAACCGGGCCCAGUUCGGAUUGGAGUCUGCAACUCGACUCCAUGAAGUUGGAAUCGCUAGUAACGGCGCAUCAGCUACGGCGCCGUGAAUACGUUCCCAGGCCUUGUACACACCGCCCGUCACAUCAUGAAAGCCGGGAGCGCCCGAAGUCCGCGAUUACACGGCCGACGGUGAACUUGGUGAUUGGGAUGAAGUCGUAACAAGGUAGCCGUAGGGGAACCUGCGGCUGGAUCACCUCCUUUCUAGGGAGUACUGGGGCAAGCUUGCUUGCCUUAGACGGUCGAACAUCCGUGCUUGCAUGGAUGAUUGGUGGAUGCUGUUGCACAAUUCAGUUUUCAAGGAGCUGAUUGCUCUUUGUCAGGAUCGGAUAAUUAGGCAAGCCUGCAGGCUUGCAAUCUGGGGCUGUAGCUCAGUUGGUAGAGCGCCUGCUUUGCAAGCAGGAUGUCAGGAGUUCGAGUCUCCUCUGCUCCACCAGAAGGGCCUGUAGCUCAGUUGGUUAGAGCACGCGCUUGAUAAGCGCGGGGUCGCUGGUUCGAGUCCAGCCUGGCCCACCAUCCGAACCGUUAUGAAUUUUGGCGGGGUCGCUUAGGCGGCUGCGCUUGGUUCUUUGAAAUCCUUGCAUGGAUAAGACAUUGUAAAAUGUAAUACCGUGCAACUUUGUUGGCGCCAUUAGAGUAUAUUUAAUGGUAAAUACAUUUGAUAAGCUACUAAGGGCACAAGGUGAAUGCCUUGGUGCCAGGAGGCGAUGAAGGACGCGGUUACCUGCGAUAAGCCUAGAGGGAGACGGAAGCAGUCAUUAUUACCCUAGGAUUUCCGAAUGGGGAAACCCGG